Molecule: microRNA precursor, 205 nt
Organism: Oryza sativa Indica Group (long-grained rice)
Lineage: Eukaryota; Viridiplantae; Streptophyta; Magnoliopsida; Poales; Poaceae
Rfam family: MIR812 microRNA precursor family
Source: Rfam
AAAAAGACAAACACUGGGUUUGCAUGUCCAACUUUGACUGUCCGUCUUAUAUGAAAUUUUUUUAAAAUUCGUAUUUUCAUUGUUGUUAGAUGAUAAAACAUGAUUAAUAUUUUAUGCGUGACUUGUCUUUUUAAUUUUUUUCAUAAUUUUUUCAAAUAAGACGGACGGUCAAACGUUGGGCACGGAAACCAGGGUUUGUCUUUUU